Molecule: long non-coding RNA, 338 nt
Organism: Chroicocephalus ridibundus (black-headed gull)
Lineage: Eukaryota; Metazoa; Chordata; Aves; Charadriiformes; Laridae
Exons: 3
Source: RefSeq, a predicted model, not a curated record
UCUGGCUUGUUACAAUGGUGUGUUGCUGUGUAAUAUGACUUCUCCCAGCCUGAACAGGACUAUGUAAGUCAAUCUUUACCAGGCCUGCCAAUCAUGAUAACCAGAAGAGACAACAGUUAUAGGGACAAUAUGGAUUAUUUUAUGGAGCUGGCAAGAAUCCAAAAAGGAGAACUUAGGAGGAGGUAAACUCUGAAAAGCUUUCUCAUGGGAAAAAGUCAAGGGAUCAUUUACGACAACUGCAUUAAACAUUACAGGAUGCCAACAAAUGAACACGGAUUGAGGAUCUUCAGUCCUGGAUCUAGACCCGGUAGAUCAAACUCAGACCCAGCAUACAGACC